GCAGUCCUGUCUCAGAUUAAGCCUGCAUGUCUAAGUAUAAACUGCUUUAUACUGUGAAACUGCGAAUGGCUCAUUAGAUCAGUUAUAGUUUAUUUGAUGGUACCUACUUCUCGGAUACCCGGAUUAAGUCUAGAGCUAAUACGUGCGUAAAUCCCGACUUCUGGAAGGGACGUAUUUAUUAGAUAUAAGGCCGACCGGGCUCUGCCCGACUCGCGGUGAAUCAUGAUAACUUCACGAAGCCCAUGGCCUUGGGGCGGCGAUGUUUCAUUCAAAUUUCUGCCCUAUCAACUUUCGAUGGUAGGAUAUAUGCCUACCAUGGUGUGAACGGGUGACGGAGGAUAAGGAUUCGAUUCCGGAGAGGGAGCCUGAGAAACGGCUACCACAUCCAAGGAAGGCAUGAGGCGCGCCAAUUACCCAAUCCUGACACAGGGAGGUAGUGACAAUAAAUAACAAUACUGUGCCUUUUCAGGUCUGGAAUUGGUAAAUGAGACAUGAAUUUGGCUUUGUUGAUACAUGACCGGGUUUGCCCCCGACGGCGAUCUGGAUGUUGAAAUGGAGAAUGAGAAUUGGAAUGAGAUUGCCGUGCAAAUUUUAUUUGGAA
Molecule: ribosomal RNA, 601 nt
Filed under: Chlorella sorokiniana
Lineage: Eukaryota; Viridiplantae; Chlorophyta; Trebouxiophyceae; Chlorellales; Chlorellaceae
Description: SSU rRNA
Rfam family: Eukaryotic small subunit ribosomal RNA
Source: RNAcentral